GAAUGCAACCUGUCACACAGCAUGGAAUUUUCCAAAGCAGUUCUCGGCUGAGUGCAGGGGGCAGAUCUGCAUUUGUCUUUCCUUUCAGCUUGACAUCUGGACACCCACACCAAGAAUGGGCCCAUCUAUUUGAUAACAAAUGCAGUUUUUGUCUCUGCAAGCUGACCUCUCAGACAGGAUGAAUGCUUACUUAGUCUAGGAGUCGGUUUUUAGAAACCUUGAGGAUGCUGGCAUUCUCUGGGGUCCAUCUUUUUUAUUUUUUAAUUUUUUUGGUCUUUUUACCUGGGAACCUCCAUAUGCUGCGGGAGUGGCCCAAAGAAAUAACAAAAAGACAAAAUAAAUAAAUAAAUAUAGCCCAAAGACAAAGGAGUGUGAGGUGUGGUCUUGCCUUACACCUCUUGACCUGCUAAUUGGUUGGGGAAGAAUGGGGUCUUUGGAUACACUUGCUGAUUGGUUGGGGGCAUAUGUUGCCUCUCGAGGGGUGUGGUAAGGAGUGGUCCACAGACCUUUUCUGGUCGGGGGCAGGAAGGAGUAGGCCAAAUUGCUGGGGUGAGGAGGUCCUUAGGAACUUUGUAACAAUUACAGUGAGACAGGUGGGAUGAUAAGAGUCUGGCAAGGCUGGAGGCUUUUGGAGUUUUAUCUCCUUGGAGAAGCCUUGAGGUCCCACACCCACCCUCGGCUGCCUCCUCUUUGAGUUCUUAGAGUUAAGGUCUGUACCGCUGUGAGACUGAAUUCCAUGACAUUUAGAGACUAUUUCUCAUCUUUUUUUUUUUUUUUUGGGGGGGGAUACUUUAGUGCCUCUCCCACCUGUGGGCCAGCAGCAUCAGCAUCACCCAGGAACUUUUUAGAAUAUCUAAUCUUGGUCCUGACUAACUGAGUCAGAACUUUCAUCUUAACAAGAUCCCAGGUGCUUGCUAUGGACAGGAAAAACUGAGCAAUGGUGCUCUGCUCAGUAGCACUUUUCAUGCAAUACAUGUUAAGUAGUAAUAAAGAUAAUAAAGCCUAAUAAAGCAUGUGAGGCAGGUAAUUGUAUGUCACUGAUAGAAUGCCAUCUACCCAGUUUUUUCUUGCCAUCUCUUCAACAUUCUUCAGUCAUCUCAGAAUCCUAGAAGUGAUGGUAAUUUGAUCCUUCUGAAUACAGAUGAAGUUGGUAGUUUCAGAAUUACUUGCCCA
RNAcentral lists this long non-coding RNA (1173 nucleotides) under Sus scrofa (pig). RNAcentral describes it as "lncRNA (ENSSSCG00005028201.1)". The record is from RNAcentral. Lineage: Eukaryota; Metazoa; Chordata; Mammalia; Artiodactyla; Suidae.